AUUCACGUGGUCACCUGCAGCUGGACACCGAAGAUGAUUUGUUUCCUCUUUCAGCCCGAGUCUGCUGCUUCAGCCAUACCCCAUUCCUUGUGAGCCGCUGGACAGCCCACAACAGUUUGGUGCCUGAACAGGGACCUGAAGAAUGGCAGAAGGACGCUGAGAGGACGCUGUCCGUGUGGAGCUCCACGGGAAAGUAAAGGGUCUUUUGUAUUGGGCAUGGGAGCAACAAACAGCCUGAGUCUGCCACUUCAGCCAUACCCUGUUCCUUGCAAGCCAUUGGAUGCCCUGUGACUGCUAUUUCUGCUUUUAAUGUGUCCUGCAUUCCUGAUGUUGAGGAUCCAUAAGAACAGAAAGCAUCUCUUGACUACUCAGUCUCCCGCAUUCAUCAGUAUGGCUGAAAAGACCGACUUCUUCCCUGCUCUAGCUGCAGAAGUCUAGUCUAUCAAUCUAGGCUAGCCUGAAAUGAAAUCCUGCUGAUGAAGACUUUCUUCAUUUCUUCUAUUGUUCCCAAUAUCCUCACUACCUGCUGUUGGGUUCCCCUUCCCUCCCAAGGGGUAAGUUAAGUUGGGAGGAAAGCAGUGGAAUAGGUAUCAGGGGAAGAGGUACUUCAGUCUUGCCUUGGACAAACCUGAAUCUAGAUAUUUCAAAAUCCCCCACAUUUAAGAAAGUCCAUCCAUAGCUUGUAAGAGCACAAAGUCGAACAUACAUUGUGUGAGACAUGUCCCAGGAAAAUAAAACAUGCCUGGGGAAUGUCGGACCUCAAUAGGAUUCUUAAGAGAAAUCAAAUAUGUCUGCCCCAUUAUCUGUGUAUUGUUUGUAAGCUCCAAAUGCUUGGUCGAGGA
Long non-coding RNA from Mus musculus (house mouse), 842 nucleotides. RefSeq annotates it as predicted gene, 35163. The record is from RefSeq and is a predicted model, not a curated record. Lineage: Eukaryota; Metazoa; Chordata; Mammalia; Rodentia; Muridae. The transcript has 5 exons.